This 1372-nucleotide ribosomal RNA is filed under the name uncultured bacterium. RNAcentral's name for it is "bacterial SSU rRNA". It matches the Rfam family "Bacterial small subunit ribosomal RNA", at positions 28 to 1381 of the family's 1533-position model. The record is from RNAcentral.
GAUGAACGCUGGCGGCGUGCCUAAUACAUGCAAGUCGAGCGAACGGACGAGAAGCUUGCUUCUCUGAUGUUAGCGGCGGACGGGUGAGUAACACGUGGAUAACCUACCUAUAAGACUGGGAUAACUUCGGGAAACCGGAGCUAAUACCGGAUAAUAUUUUGAACCGCAUGGUUCAAAAGUAAAAGACGGUCUUGCUGUCACUUAUAGAUGGAUCCGCGCUGCAUUAGCUAGUUGGUAAGGUAACGGCUUACCAAGGCAACGAUGCAUAGCCGACCUGAGAGGGUGAUCGGCCACACUGGAACUGAGACACGGUCCAGACUCCUACGGGAGGCAGCAGUAGGGAAUCUUCCGCAAUGGGCGAAAGCCUGACGGAGCAACGCCGCGUGAGUGAUGAAGGUCUUCGGAUCGUAAAACUCUGUUAUUAGGGAAGAACAUAUGUGUAAGUAACUGUGCACAUCUUGACGGUACCUAAUCAGAAAGCCACGGCUAACUACGUGCCAGCAGCCGCGGUAAUACGUAGGUGGCAAGCGUUAUCCGGAAUUAUUGGGCGUAAAGCGCGCGUAGGCGGUUUUUUAAGUCUGAUGUGAAAGCCCACGGCUCAACCGUGGAGGGUCAUUGGAAACUGGAAAACUUGAGUGCAGAAGAGGAGAGUGGAAUUCCAUGUGUAGCGGUGAAAUGCGCAGAGAUAUGGAGGAACACCAGUGGCGAAGGCGACUUUCUGGUCUGUAACUGACGCUGAUGUGCGAAAGCGUGGGGAUCAAACAGGAUUAGAUACCCUGGUAGUCCACGCCGUAAACGAUGAGUGCUAAGUGUUAGGGGGUUUCCGCCCCUUAGUGCUGCAGCUAACGCAUUAAGCACUCCGCCUGGGGAGUACGACCGCAAGGUUGAAACUCAAAGGAAUUGACGGGGACCCGCACAAGCGGUGGAGCAUGUGGUUUAAUUCGAAGCAACGCGAAGAACCUUACCAAAUCUUGACAUCCUUUGACAACUCUAGAGAUAGAGCCUUCCCCUUCGGGGGACAAAGUGACAGGUGGUGCAUGGUUGUCGUCAGCUCGUGUCGUGAGAUGUUGGGUUAAGUCCCGCAACGAGCGCAACCCUUAAGCUUAGUUGCCAUCAUUAAGUUGGGCACUCUAAGUUGACUGCCGGUGACAAACCGGAGGAAGGUGGGGAUGACGUCAAAUCAUCAUGCCCCUUAUGAUUUGGGCUACACACGUGCUACAAUGGACAAUACAAAGGGCAGCGAAACCGCGAGGUCAAGCAAAUCCCAUAAAGUUGUUCUCAGUUCGGAUUGUAGUCUGCAACUCGACUACAUGAAGCUGGAAUCGCUAGUAAUCGUAGAUCAGCAUGCUACGGUGAAUACGUUCCCGGGUCU